CCUGGUAUACUUAGUACGGCGAGUGAGCGGUAAAAGCUCAAAUUUGAAAUCUGGUACUUUCAGUGCCCGAGUUGUAAUUUGUAGAAUUUGUCUUUGAUUAGGUCCUUGUCUAUGUUCCUUGGAACAGGACGUCAUAGAGGGUGAGAAUCCCGUUUGGCGAGGAUACCUUUUCUCUGUAAGACUUUUUCGAAGAGUCGAGUUGUUUGGGAAUGCAGCUCAAAGUGGGUGGUAAAUUCCAUCUAAAGCUAAAUAUUGGCGAGAGACCGAUAGCGAACAAGUACAGUGAUGGAAAGAUGAAAAGAACUUUGAAAAGAGAGUGAAAAAGUACGUGAAAUUGUUGAAAGGGAAGGGCAUUUGAUCAGACAUGGUGUUUUUUGCAUGCACUCGCCUCUCGUGGGCUUGGGCCUCUCAAAAAUUUCACUGGGCCAACAUCAAUUCUGGCAGCAGGAUAAAUCAUUAAGAAUGUAGCUACUUCGGUAGUGUUAUAGCUUUUUGGAAUACUGUUAGCCGGGAUUGAGGACUGCGCUUCGGCAAGGAUGUUGGCAUAAUGGUUAAAUGCCGCCCGUCUUGACCC
This 574-nucleotide ribosomal RNA is filed under the name Hanseniaspora uvarum. Its description in RNAcentral is "eukaryotic LSU rRNA". It matches the Rfam family "Eukaryotic large subunit ribosomal RNA", at positions 69 to 660 of the family's 3401-position model. Lineage: Eukaryota; Fungi; Ascomycota; Saccharomycetes; Saccharomycodales; Saccharomycodaceae. The record is from RNAcentral.